Molecule: unclassified non-coding RNA, 995 nt
Filed under: Hevea brasiliensis (rubber tree)
Lineage: Eukaryota; Viridiplantae; Streptophyta; Magnoliopsida; Malpighiales; Euphorbiaceae
Source: RNAcentral
GUGACAAUGUUUAUGAUUUCGGCGGACUUUCAGAAGAGGAGUUAAGGUCUGAUCCAGCGUACAUUUCGUAUUACUACUCGAAUGUGAAUCUGAACCCAAGGCUUCCGCCACCUCUUUUGUCUAAAGAAGACUGGCGGUACGCCCAGCGUCUGCAGGGUAGCGGUAAUGUUGGUAGUGGUGGUAAUUCACCAGUAUUAGGGGGGAUUGGUGAUAGAAGGAAAGGAAAUCGUGGUGAGGCCGAUAAGGGAAAGGAUGUUGAAUCACUUUUUUCAAUGCCGAUGGGAUUUGGUGCUAUAAAUGAAGAAAAUGGACGUGAGGCGCGGAAGGAGUGGGGCGGUGAUGGUCUCAUUGGAUUGCCUGGAUUAGGUUUAGGAAGCCGGCAGAUGAGCAUUACUGAGAUGAUUCAGGACCAUAUGAGCCAAACAACGUCAAGGCAUCCAUCACGUCCUGAUUCCCGUGCAUAUGAUGAUAUUGUUGAUCCUUCUGAGUCCCAAUUUGCUCAUCUCCAUCAAAAUCUGGCAUCUUUGGAUGCAUUACAUUCCAGGGAAAAAGUUCAAGGCAUGUCCCUCCAUAAUGUCAGCUCAUCAGGAUCUCAGUCUUAUGGUUCGGCCAUGGGUACAUCACUAUCACGAAGUACCAUCCCUGAGCCUCAGCUUGUGGCUAGAGAUCCUAGCCCUCGUAUUCCGUCUGCUGGAGGAGGGAGGAUAGCAUCACUAGAGGAUGUUUCAUCUCAUAUGGGUGAGCAUACUGAUUUGGCUGCUGCAUUGUCUGGCAUGAGUCUAUCAGGGAACAAUAUGGGAGAUGAAGGGAAACAUCAAAAGUAUCAAAUUCAUAAUGAGAUGGACGAUCAUCAGAACCUCUUCCGAUUGCAGAAUGUUCAGAAUCCUAUGAAGCAACAUCCAUAUGCAAAAAAGUCUGAAUCUGUUCAGUUUCACAAGUCUGUGGGUUCCUCUGCUGCAUACAUGAUUGGGCACUCUAUGCCAACUCUCAACAAU